UACGAAGGUCCCAAGCGUUGUUCGGAAUCACUGGGCGUAAAGCGUGCGUAGGCGGCAUGGUAAGUCAGAUGUGAAAUCUCUGGGCUCAACCCGGAAACUGCAUCCGAUACUGCCUUGCUAGAGUAAUGGAGAGGUAGCUGGAAUUCUCGGUGUAGCAGUGAAAUGCGUAGAUAUCGAGAGGAACACUCGUGGCGAAGGCGAGCUACUGGACAUUCACUGACGCCGAGGCACGAGGCCAGGGGAGCGAAAGGG
RNAcentral lists this unclassified non-coding RNA (252 nucleotides) under uncultured Verrucomicrobiota bacterium. RNAcentral describes it as "uncultured Verrucomicrobia bacterium contains 16S-23S intergenic spacer region". It matches the Rfam family "Bacterial small subunit ribosomal RNA", at positions 524 to 776 of the family's 1533-position model. Lineage: Bacteria; Pseudomonadati; Verrucomicrobiota. The record is from RNAcentral.